RNAcentral lists this long non-coding RNA (586 nucleotides) under Brassica napus (rape). RNAcentral's name for it is "long non-coding RNA (BNAP_LNC015140)". Lineage: Eukaryota; Viridiplantae; Streptophyta; Magnoliopsida; Brassicales; Brassicaceae. The record is from RNAcentral.
CUAGAACUCAAUUUGACAUCCUAGCUAAACAUAUCAAGUAGCUUAAGCAUCUUUUGAAAAAGCUUGUAAGCUUCGAGCCUUGAAAACUCUUCUUGAAACUUGUUUGCUUGCUUGAUAUUGGCAUUGUUUUUAAGAUCAGCUCCAAUAUAAACUUGGCUUGAAUGAACUUAAUCUCUCUUGCAUAUAGGCAUUUGCAUACUUGAUCAUGGAUCUCAUACACAUUUGGGUUAUCUUAUUUCCUCAUACCUAUCUUUGUUAACCCAAAUGGCACUCCCUACCCUAAAACCCUAGCCAUUCUUUGAGACCAAACAUUGAAUUGCAUGAGUGAAGCCUCUUUUGAUAGCUUGUCAUGUGCAAAAUCUUGAGAGUAUUGGAGGCGACAUAGAUUUAUUCUCAUCUCUAGCUAGCAUAAUGAGUUAGCAUUUAGGGAUGGUGAGAGGGGUUUGUAUGUUCUAAAUUUCAUAUCUUGGGUUUGGAGAGUGAGAAAGAUGAGAGAUGAGCAAAAGAGUAUGAAUAGAAAAGAAUACUCUAGGGAUAAAAAAAAAAAAAUAACAAGCUUUUGAUUUUGCAACAAAGGACCUUCCCC